GUAGCUUGAAAUGAACUUAAUUUCAAUAAGAGCAUCAGAGGGACGAUAGAAGAUAUUGCCGCAGAGCAACAUGAAGAAAAUCGAAAAACAAAAGACGAAAAUUGUGUAAAGUGGUUUUAUAGGGCAACAAUAUAGAAAAACAGGAUUUACCACACACACACAACACUCGGCAAUGGCAGAUGGAAACGGGAAAGCUGGACUGGGACUGGGACCGGGAUUGGGAUU
Molecule: non-coding RNA, 225 nt
Organism: Drosophila melanogaster (fruit fly)
Lineage: Eukaryota; Metazoa; Arthropoda; Insecta; Diptera; Drosophilidae
Source: Ensembl